UACGGGGGGGGCAAGCGUUGUUCGGAAUUACUGGGCGUAAAGGGCUCGUAGGCGGCCAACUAAGUCGGAUGUGAAAUCCCCCAGCUUAACCUGGGAACUGCAUCCGAUACUGGAUGGCUUGAAUCCGGGAGAGGGAUGCAGAAUUCCAGGUGUAGCGGUGAAAUGCGUAGAUAUCUGGAGGAACACCGGUGGCGAAGGCGGCAUCCUGGACCAAUAUUGACGCUGAGGAGCGAAAGCUAGGGGAGCAAACGGG
RNAcentral lists this ribosomal RNA (253 nucleotides) under uncultured bacterium. RNAcentral describes it as "partial 16S ribosomal RNA". It matches the Rfam family "Bacterial small subunit ribosomal RNA", at positions 524 to 776 of the family's 1533-position model. The record is from RNAcentral.